This 371-nucleotide unclassified non-coding RNA is filed under the name soil metagenome. RNAcentral describes it as "partial contains 5.8S ribosomal RNA, internal transcribed spacer 2, and large subunit ribosomal RNA". The stretch from base 1 to 120 matches the Rfam family "5.8S ribosomal RNA", at positions 35 to 154 of the family's 154-position model. The record is from RNAcentral.
GAUGAAGAACGCAGCGAAAUGCGAUAAGUAGUGUGAAUUGCAGAAUUCCGUGAAUCAUCGAAUCUUUGAACGCACAUUGCGCCCCCCGGCAUUCCGGGGAGCAUGCCUGUUCGAGCGUCUCUUGGAAUACCCCUCACGCCGGCGGAGGCGUGGUCAUGGCGGCGGUGGCGUGCCCCGAGAGGGAGGCCACCGCGCUGGAAUCCAUGGGCGGACGCCUGCCGCGUGGCCGAGCGUGAUAAGACGCACUGGCGCUCGCGCGCGGCGAGGCUGCCGGCCCUGGCCCGCUCGUCGGGCGGGGACAGCAACACUUGGGAACUCCUCGAAUCAGGUAGGGAUACCCGCUGAACUUAAGCAUAUCAAUAAGCGGAGGA